ACUACUUUGAUAUCGGUAAAGCUGCCACCUAGGCUACGUCACUCGCCUGUCAAACAGAAGAUUUCCUUUCCACUUUUACCUCAGGGACACCACAGGAGACCAGACGGCUCAUUAAUUUCAGGGCGACCAGGGACAAUGAGUUCCUAAAAUCGAAAAUGAUCGCCAGAAAACAGUGGGAGCUUUUUCUGGAAGAAAUGGGGGUGGAGGGGAAAGUGACCAGGCAACAGGCUUCUAAGAAGUGGGAGAACCUUAAAAAGAAGUAUAAGGUAUGUGUCUAGUUUGAAAUAAACAAUUACCAAUUGCCUAAUGAAUGUAUCAACCAAACGAGACCAUUGUUUUUGUUGUAAUUGAGUAUUUGCUGUGUGUGUGUCUGUGUCUGUGUGUUUGUUUUUUCAGGAUUUGAGGACUCCCAAAACUCGGGUCGGGGACUGAAAGUGGGGAGGUGACUGGCGACGUGGCAGUAUUAUGACUUGAUGCACGAGGUUCUUGGUGCCCGGCCAGCAAUUGACCCACCAGUCCUUGUGUCAUCUAUUCAAGACCCCAUGGUUAUCCUCAUGGAGAUGGUGGAGCCCUACACCCAAGGUUGACCUCCACCUUGUCUUCAUCAUCCCGAAGGCCCGCUCUAUCACAGAACGCGCCAUGGAUUGGCGGUAAUUAAAGCGCUGCUGCACCCGCCCAAUCACCGGCUCUUUAUAGGGAGUCAACAGACAUACGGGCGUCUGGAGGCAGGGGUACCCACCAUCACCUAAUAGCAUGUAACCCGGCGGUGGAUACCUGGCAGUCAAAUAAAAAUAACUGUUUUUCAUUACCCUUGUGUCAUGGACAGACCCUGGGUAGCCCACAAAAAUGUCCAAAAAUGUCCCCUUUGCAUCGCAUAUGGCCUGCAUGUUAAUUGAAUAGAAAUUCUUGUAAUUUAGAUAGUCUAAUCGAUGUAGUUGUGGUGGCUUGAUCCGAAUAUGGGUUCCAUCGAUCCUUCUUUUCCAAAGAGGGCAGCAUGUUUCUUGUCAAACGAGCGCCUGACAGUCUCUCCGUCCUGU
Long non-coding RNA from Gadus macrocephalus (Pacific cod), 1037 nucleotides. RefSeq lists it as uncharacterized. The transcript is spliced from 3 exons. NCBI's taxonomy places the organism in Eukaryota, Metazoa, Chordata, Actinopteri, Gadiformes, Gadidae. The record is from RefSeq and is a predicted model, not a curated record.